UAAGGAAUAUUGGUCAAUGGACGCAAGUCUGAACCAGCCAUGCCGCGUGAAGGAUGAAGGUCCUCUGGAUUGUAAACUUCUUUUAUCUGGGACGAAAACGGGAUUUUUAUCUCACUUGACGGUACCAGAGGAAUAAGCACCGGCUAACUCCGUGCCAGCAGCCGCGGUAAUACGGAGGGUGCGAGCGUUAUCCGGAUUUACUGGGGUUAAAGGGUGCGUAGGUGGGCUUAUAAGUCAGUUGUGAAAUCUCCGAGCUUAACUUGGAAACUGCCGUUGAUACUAUAGGUCUUGAAUUAUCUGGAGGUCAGCGGAAUAUGUCAUGUAGCGGUGAAAUGCUUAGAUAUGACAUAGAACACCAAUUGCGAAGGCAGCUUACUACAUAUAAAUUGACGCUGAGGCACGAAAGCGUGGGGAUCAAACA
RNAcentral lists this ribosomal RNA (421 nucleotides) under uncultured bacterium. RNAcentral describes it as "bacterial SSU rRNA". It matches the Rfam family "Bacterial small subunit ribosomal RNA", at positions 355 to 774 of the family's 1533-position model. The record is from RNAcentral.